Molecule: long non-coding RNA, 3204 nt
Filed under: Bemisia tabaci
Lineage: Eukaryota; Metazoa; Arthropoda; Insecta; Hemiptera; Aleyrodidae
Description: lncRNA ENSSSA2NGG008775
Source: RNAcentral
AACAUUUUUUCAUAUAUUUUUUAUUAUAAUAUGAAUAUUUUUCCUCUCACCUAUUAAACUAAAUUGCUCUCUUAAUUUCAAUGCCUUCGUCAGAUCCCGCGUGUUUAAAAGACAUCAUGACCUCAUGCUGUCAGUUGUGAUGUUGUGUAAAGAUCCUAGUUACUUGAGAAGCAUGCCACAAAUGAGUCAGAAGCAAGAAAUGGUACUGUUAUGAAAGAGGAAGCAAAUGUUAAGGUGACUCCAAGUAAAAUUUAAUAAAAAAAAAAUAAAUAAAUAAAUAAAAAAGGAGAAAAAUACCCAGUUAAUUUACCUAAUUAAAUUACAAGUAAUUGUUCUCUUGAAAAUUUGCAACGUAAAUCAUUCUCAUCUUCUGGAUCGAGCAUCCUUCCCCUGGAAAUAAAUAAACCUAAUUAAUUCCUGAUUUUGUUCUUAGUAAUCACCACAAUGGCACAGCAGAGACUGGAAAAAGCUCCUCAGGAUACGUGAAUGGAGUCAAUGGGAAAUUGAAAUCAUCGUUGGAGAGGAAUUGCUCCUUGCGCAGCAAAAAAAUUAAAUCCAGUAAUGUUCCCGUGAAAAAAGAUAAAGAUACUCCCACCGCUCCGAUUACAACCAAAAGGAAAUUAUCAUUCGACUCAAGGACUCAUUCUUCCAGGAAUCGCAAACGGUUGAGGAGCUCAAAUAUUUCCCUUGUUUAAUCGCGCUGUAUGGAGCCCAUUAUUCUCAUAUAUUUCUAAUUGUCGUAAUUCUCAUCAUGAUAAUGCAUCAUUUCAGUUCUGCAAUAGCCAGGUCUGGAGCCCAUCGGCUCUUUUAUUAAUACUUUUUGCAAUCUCCAUCGUAUUAAUAUUUGGACGCAUUUCUAUCAAACGGAACUAUGUGCAUUGAGACAUGAGCCCUGAGACCCAUGAGAAUACAUGUAUAACGGGGCUCACAUCAUAAUGCACAUCGACGGUGAAACUACCAAACCACGUAUCUCGGUUUGCGACGUCGCAGACUUCCUGUCAUGCUUUAUUUUUUAAAUGUAAAACUACUUAACGUCCAGUCUUGAAAAUUUCUGUGAUUUUUCCUCUUCGUGCGGAAAAAAUUCUGUGAAAAUUUCAAGGAAUGAUAUUGAUUUGGUCUAUUUCAAAAAAAAAAAUGUGAGCGUAGAUUUUUAAACACCGCAAACGAGAUACGUGGUUUGGUAGUUUCACCGUCGACAUAGUUCCGUGUGAUAGAAAUACGUCCAUUUAUAUAUCACCAGGCAUGUGAAUCAGCUCCAUCAAUCGUUUCACAACUUUAAUUUUGCCUGAAAAAUCAUGGUAUAUAUUUGAAGCUCAACUUCUACAUAUUUCGUUCUUUUUGCAAACUAUCUUGGCUGUCUCAUUGCGAAAGAUUCAAGUUUUAGAAGUUUUGAGGUGUUACUUAUCCACUUUCAAAAGGCAUCUCAGUGCACGCCUUUCCACCGGUGCUCAUGCUAGUAACGCGUCAAAGGCGUUAAUAUAAAAAUAGGCGAGUUUUGAUACUAGACUCAUGCGAAAAGCACAGUUUAAAAAAAGGAAAAAUUAAUGGUAAGCAUACUGUAAAUUUCUGUGAUCGUAAGGCGGAUUAUUAUUUUGCCACUCCGUCAUUGAUCAUCAAAAUGAUCGAUCUAACUCUGUUCGCAAGGCCAAUGUAACCGCCCAAUUUAAGCUGUUAUCUUAUGUAUUUUUGUCUGUUUAAUUCCCCGUGCUUUAAAUGUUUGACUCGCAGACCUAUUUCCUUCAUUUUCUUGUAAACUUAGCGCUUCGCACUAUUCUCUGUUUUGUGCCACUAUAAUUUCAAAUCCAAAUGAAUCAACCGUUUUUUCCGCACCUCAACUAUCACACCCUUUAUACUGUUGGGUGUUUAGUAAACUUUCAAUCGACACCUGUGGCUGUAUCAAAGAACCAUCUUCAAAGUACACUCUGUAGGGCCAGCUAGGAGGUAGCUGCAAUGACUACAGAAAAUUUGAUGAUGGUUUUCAGCCACUGGAAUCACAAUGUGUUUUCAUAGUGUCACUGAAAGUAAUAUGCUCACCUUAGUCAUUGGUAUGUUAAAAAAGGCCACAGAAUUUAUUCAUUAAACAAAUUCAUUCAGUUACUAGUAUACGGCUAUUGCAAUUGAUAUCCAGUUCACCAUUUCUUUAAUUAUGUAACAAUAAGGCUCAUUACAAAAAUUAUGUUCUUUUUGAUGUUUACAGUCCUUAAGAGAUAGUGCCAUGGCCCUUCAAAGGAACCGGUUGAAUUCUAUUGUGUUUGUUGUGAAGAGCGUACCACCAAGAGCAUCAUCAUUUGUCGUUAUUAAUUGUUGUGUCAGAAUUAGUAAUAACACUCUCGGAACAUUAUAACGAACAUUAAAAAUUUUUUACGAAAUAACCAAUUCAAAGAUUUAAAUAGGCACUAGCCAAGGUACAAAUUUAAGUGUCUUGAUAUGUUUUGCCGUCUCAAAGGUUCAAGUAGAACAUGACUUGCGCAAUAAAUAUUACUAAAGUAAAUUCCUAACGAGAAAAACCAAAGUCCUUGUUAAUCAAAUCGUCGAUUUGCCUUCCAUUGACGUUAGUGAUGUUUUACUCAAAGACCUAUUUUAGUUCAGACUUAUUUCAAAAUGUAAAUGAAACUGAGUACUGAUCAAUUGAUGAUAAAAUUCAGGUGCUCUUUGUGGAGGCUCUUCAGAACCGGUCAACUGUCCUUACUACUUAACUAUCAGUUAAGAUGCAGUUAAAAUCAUUGUUCCUAUUCAGAAUAUGUUAAUAAUUGUAACUUUGUUUCUCUUUUUCCCCUUUUCUUUGUAUAGUCUCGUUUAAAUUAUUUGCAUGAAUUCUCGUUUUUGUAAAUAACUAAUAAGCUUCUAAAGCUUUACUCUACGUUUAAUUACUAUCAAGUCUCUUCUGAAGUUCUAGGAAACGUUGUAAACAAAUUGUUAUUUCAUAUUUUUUGUUAGAAUUGAAUUUAUCGGUUACAUAUUUAUCUCUCGGAUAAGAUCUUUAAAGGGUUAUCAUUCCCUGAAAGAAAGGGUGAUCCUUUUUUUCAUGUCUGUUGAAUCUAUUAUAUUGACCUUCUUCAUUGGUUAUUAGGAAAGAAAAAAUCAUCUUUAAAGACUAUGAUUUUAUAGUUUUAUCAUUUCAGCAUUUUCAUCUGGUCUUAUUAAUACUUGUUCAAUUGUUCACUUUGAACCGUCAAAGCACUUGACCAAUUAUUGUGUCGUUUG